Molecule: non-coding RNA, 26 nt
Filed under: Mus musculus (house mouse)
Lineage: Eukaryota; Metazoa; Chordata; Mammalia; Rodentia; Muridae
Source: RNAcentral
UCCAGACAGAUAUAUAGGACCAUGAC